Alosa alosa (allis shad) is the source of this 362-nucleotide long non-coding RNA. RefSeq lists it as uncharacterized. The transcript has 3 exons. The record is from RefSeq and is a predicted model, not a curated record. NCBI's taxonomy places the organism in Eukaryota, Metazoa, Chordata, Actinopteri, Clupeiformes, Clupeidae.
CAAAGUUACUAACACAGACCGGUUCAAGCGGCUUAGGAGAAGAGCUUAAUGAGGUCACAACAACCGCAACCCCCCCACACUGGUCCUGAGGCUGAGUUCGAUAUUGCUGCACCUUUAUACCAGACAACACUACAUCUGCAACUGAGAUGGAAGGUCUCGUGAAUCCACCCCCAUCUCCGGGCACUGUCCACACCGGUCCUGAGACUGAGCUGAAUGAACCAGCACAUUUGUUCCCAGACUACUCUGCACCUGUGGCUGAGAUAGAAGGACAAGAGACUCAGCCCCUACCACCAGCCCCAGACAAUGCAUGCAGAGAGGAAGAUAUGGAGACUGAAACAUCAGGGGAUGCUGGUGCUCCAAUG